GAGAGAGAGAGAGAGAGAGCAUGCAACACACACACACACACACACACACACACACACACACACACACACACACACACACACACACAUUUGACAAGGCUUUCCCAACUUUUCCUUUCGUGGAGGUUGUGUUUGCAUUUCCAUGGGUCGUUUUGAUGGCCUGGUGGUGAUAGUUUGUCGCUAGUUUGCGGAGAUGAUACAAAGUUAUGAUCCAUUUGGGUUGGAGAGGCGUCUUGAUAGUCCGCUCUUGGGAGUGUUCAAGUCGUAGGAAGGAGAAUAUAUGGGCGAAGAAAGGCUGUUCUAGAGUUUGCCAGCGAAAGGAAUGAAAGAAUGAAGGUGGUGGAUAACUUUUGCACUGGGAAAUCGGACAGCAUAGGGAUGAAAUAGAUACAUGAGGAUACAGGAUACAUGCAAACAGGAUUAAGCUACGAGAGUGAAAUGCAACGUAACGAAGACUGUUGUAGAGUUUAAAAGGAUGAAAGAGUGCAGGUACUGGUUAACUCUUGCAUAAGGGAGCGGGAUGGUGCUACAGGGGCCAAGUUACAUCAUAUCACUGACGUGUUUUUUCGGUAUAUAGAUAUGUCUCGGUAUCACAUGUAUUCUCACAGCCUGGCGUUCAGUGACUCACUCUGACAUAUUAAUAGUCGUUCAACAUUUUACUCAUAUCUACCCCAUUCUCAACGAGCUCUCCAGUGUUUGUUUUCAACGGUCCAAUUCUCUUCCUUGUUUUCGUUGUUUUAUGGUGAAGAUGAUGAAGAUGUUAGCCUCGUCGGGGAAACAGGGAAAGGUGCUGUAGAGUUUACCCGUGAACAAUGUGUGAGGGAGUGGAUGUCUUACUAAUAAAAACUAAUAAUAAAGAUAACAAUAGUGGAUGGCUAACUAAUAAAAACUAAUAAUAAAGAUAACAAUAGUGGAUGGCUAACUAAUACAAACUAAUAAUAAAGAUAACAAUAGUGGAUGGCUAACUAAUAAAAACUAAUAAUAAAGAUAACAAUAGUGGAUGGCUAACUAAUAAUAAAGGUGAUAAUAGUUAAGUAAUAAUGUAGAUACGAGCUUCGACGGGGAAACACAGGGAAAGGAAAGGAGCUCUAGAGUUUACCCGUGAACAAUGUGAAAGGGUGAAGGUAGUGGAUAUCUUAAUAAUAAUAACUAAUAAUAUAAUAAUAGUGGAUGGCUAACUAAUAAUAUAGAUGAUAAUAGUUAACUCAUAAUGUAGAUACGAGCUUCAACGGGGAAACACAGCGAAAGGAAAGUAAUUACAGAGUUUACCAAUGAAAGAGUGAAGUUAGUGAAUGGAUGACUACUAAUAAAGAUGAUAAUAACUAACUAAUAAUAUAGAUUCGUGCAACUACAGGGAAACACAGCGAAAGGAAAGUAAUUACAGAGUUUACCAAUGAAAGAAUGAAGGUAGUGAGUGAAUGACAACUACUAAUAAAAAUAAUGAUAACUAAUUAAUAAUGAAGGCAUGAGUUUGGACGAGGAAGCAGCGAAAGGAAAGACAUAUAGUUUACCCGUGAAAAAGAUGAAAGAGUGAAAAUAAAGAAUGGCUAAAUAAUAAAAAAAACAAUAAUAA
Long non-coding RNA from Eriocheir sinensis (Chinese mitten crab), 1570 nucleotides. RefSeq lists it as uncharacterized. The transcript is spliced from 2 exons. The record is from RefSeq and is a predicted model, not a curated record. NCBI's taxonomy places the organism in Eukaryota, Metazoa, Arthropoda, Malacostraca, Decapoda, Varunidae.